ACUGAAGAUUGAAGCUUGCUUCUUGAUUCAGAUCUUGGUGAGUGGCGGACGGGUGAGUAACACGUGGGUAACCUGCCCAAAAGUGGGGGAUAACAUUUGGAAACAAGUGCUAAUACCGCAUAACAACUGCUUUCACAUGAUCGCAGCUUAAAAGAUGGCUCUGCUAUCACUUUUGGAUGGACCCGCGGCGUAUUAGCUUGUUGGUGAGGUAACGGCUCACCAAGGCAAUGAUACGUAGCCGACCUGAGAGGGUAAUCGGCCACAUUGGGACUGAGACACGGCCCAAACUCCUACGGGAGGCAGCAGUAGGGAAUCUUCCACAAUGGGCGAAAGCCUGAUGGAGCAAUGCCGCGUGAGUGAAGAAGGUUUUCGGAUCGUAAAACUCUGUUGUUGAAGAAGAACAUGCGUGAGAGUAACUGUUCACGUACUGACGGUAUUCAACCAGAAAGCCACGGCUAACUACGUGCCAGCAGCCGCGGUAAUACGUAGGUGGCAAGCGUUGUCCGGAUUUAUUGGGCGUAAAGAGAAUGUAGGCGGUCUAUUAAGUUUGAAGUGAAAGCCCUCGGCUCAACCGAGGAAGUGCUUCGAAAACUGGUAGACUUGAGUGCAGAAGAGGAAAGUGGAACUCCAUGUGUAGCGGUGGAAUGCGUAGAUAUAUGGAAGAACACCAGUGGCGAAGGCGGCUUUCUGGUCUGUAACUGACGCUGAGAUUC
This 713-nucleotide ribosomal RNA is filed under the name Companilactobacillus farciminis. RNAcentral's name for it is "bacterial SSU rRNA". It matches the Rfam family "Bacterial small subunit ribosomal RNA", at positions 53 to 754 of the family's 1533-position model. The record is from RNAcentral. Lineage: Bacteria; Bacillati; Bacillota; Bacilli; Lactobacillales; Lactobacillaceae.